GACGAACGCUGGCGGCGUGGAUUAGGCAUGCAAGUCGAACGGUAUCAUCCUUUCGGGGGUGAGAGAGUGGCGAACUGGUGAGUAACACGUAGGUUAUCUACCCUCAAGACGGGGACAACCCAGGGAAACUUGGGCUAAUACCGGAUGUGAGCAACUUUUAGUUGUUUGAAAGGUGGCGUAAGCUGUCGCUUGGGGAGUGAGCCUGCGUCCUAUUAGUUAGUUGGUGAGGUAACGGCUCACCUAGGCAAUGAUAGGUAGGCGGCCUUAACGGGUGGUCGCCCACACUGGGAUUGAGAUACGGCCCAGACUCCUACGGGAGGCAGCAGUCGAGAAUAGUCUACAAUGGUCGGAAGACUGAUAGUGCGACGCCGCGUGAACGAUGAAUCCCUUCGGGGUGUAAAGUUCUUUUAUAUGUGAGCAGUGCUUCUUAUAUUAACAGUAUGGGGAGAGAGUAUUAGCAUAUGAAUAAGCAACGGCUAAACUCCGUGCCAGCAGCCGCGGUAAUA
Molecule: ribosomal RNA, 506 nt
Filed under: uncultured bacterium
Lineage: Bacteria
Description: bacterial SSU rRNA
Rfam family: Bacterial small subunit ribosomal RNA
Source: RNAcentral